This 1482-nucleotide ribosomal RNA is filed under the name Triticum aestivum (bread wheat). RNAcentral's name for it is "partial small subunit ribosomal RNA". Lineage: Eukaryota; Viridiplantae; Streptophyta; Magnoliopsida; Poales; Poaceae. The record is from RNAcentral.
AUGAGGAUAGUGGCGUGGAACUGCCGGGGGCUCGGGAACAGGCCGGCAGUUCGUGGUCUUCUAGAACUCCAGAAGAAGGAGGAUCCCGACGUAAUUUUUCUUUCAGAGACUAGGAUGAAUAAAUAUAAAGUCGAAAGGUUACGCCAAACCUUGGGGAUGCCACACCUUGUCUACAAGGUUUGUGCUGGAAAGAGUGGAGGCUUGGCUAUGCUAUGGAAAAGAGAAGUGAACCUGAGUUUGAGGUGGCUUGGAAGAAUGCAUAUUGAUGUGACGAUCGAAGAGGUUGACGGAUAUAAGUGGAGACUCACAGGUAUCUAUGGCGAGCCCAGACCCGAUCACAGGGAAGAGACGUGGCGACUGUUACGCACUCUACAUCAGCAAGAAAAGCUACCUUGGGUGUGUAUAGGGGAUUUCAAUGAGAUCCUAUACAACUUUGAGAAGCAAGGAGGGGUGCCCAGAGCUCACAGCCAAAUGGAUCGUUUUCAUGAUGCUUUAAACUUUUGUAACCUAAACGACCUGGGUUUCGAGGGGGACGUAUUUACUUGGCGUAAUAAUAAUUUCCGUUUGGAUGGUUAUAUUCGUGAGCGCCUGGACAGGGCUGUUGCAAAUCCACAAUGGUGUAUGCGUUUUCCAGGUUACAAGGUGCGGAACGGUUGCCCUGAACACUCUGACCAUCGCCCAGUUAUUCUCGAUGUACAUGGUGCGGCCCAAAGAAGGAGACCACCACCGAACAAUUUAAACAAAAGGUUUGAGGCACGCUGGCUUCUUGAGGAAGAUUGUGAGCAACUGGUGACGGAGGCGUGGGAGGACGCAACAAGGAAAGGCAAUGGCCGUGUGAUGGAACGACUUAAGUGUGUGUCCAGGAGUUUAGACAAGUGGAGCAGGGAAGUGUUGGGUGACCUGCAGAAGAGGAUAAAAAAGCUAAGGGCUGAACUCGAGGAGAGCCGUACAGGAGACCUAUCAGAAGCGGCAGUGAGAAAAGAACAAGUAUUGUGUUUCAAGCUCGGUCGUCUUGAGGAACAACUUGAUGUGUUUUGGAAACAGAGGGCUCAUGUGGGCUGGCUGACGAAAGGAGAUCGAAAUACGGAGUACUUUCAUGGUUUUGCCUCGACACGGAAGAGAGCCAACCGAAUCACAAAGCUAAGAGGAGAUGAUGGGGUGGAGGUAGAAGAGGAGGAGGGUUUGAAGGCCCUCGUUUCUAAUCAUUUCUUUGGCUUGUUUACCCCCAUGGCAGGUACAAACAUUGAAGAAGUUCUUCAACAUGUUCAACUGCGAGUCACACCCGAAAUGAACACUUUUCUCCGGAAUGAAUACACAGCCCAGGAGAUAAAGAGUGCACUGGAUGAUAUGGGUGACCUGAAGGCCCCAGGGGCUGAUGGUAUGCCUGCAGUAUUCUAUAAGAGAUUUUGGGGUAUGGUGGGGGAGGUAGUGGUGCAAGAAGUCCUCCACGUGUUGCAGGGCGGCAGUAUACCAGAGGGAUAA